AUUUAAGAAUGCAUCUGACUAUUGGGUUCAGCUGCCUCCUGUGGCUCAGUGGUGGAAAUUAAGACUUUCUCACGUAUAACCGCUAAAAUUGCACCUGGCCCAUGGAUGCUACUGAAAAACAAGGAUGUCCCCCAACAGAUUGGAUGUGGAGUCAUGUUGAUGGAAAG
Long non-coding RNA from Sinocyclocheilus grahami, 167 nucleotides. RefSeq lists it as uncharacterized. Lineage: Eukaryota; Metazoa; Chordata; Actinopteri; Cypriniformes; Cyprinidae. The record is from RefSeq and is a predicted model, not a curated record. The transcript is spliced from 3 exons.